This 301-nucleotide ribosomal RNA is filed under the name uncultured bacterium. RNAcentral's name for it is "partial 16S ribosomal RNA". It matches the Rfam family "Bacterial small subunit ribosomal RNA", at positions 509 to 807 of the family's 1533-position model. The record is from RNAcentral.
CAGUAGCCGCGGUAAUACGUAGGUGGCAAGCGUUGUCCGGAAUUAUUGGGCGUAAAGGGCUCGCAGGCGGUUUCUUAAGUCUGAUGUGAAAGCCCCCGGCUCAACCGGGGAGGGUCAUUGGAAACUGGGAAACUUGAGUGCAGAAGAGGAGAGUGGAAUUCCACGUGUAGCGGUGAAAUGCGUAGAGAUGUGGAGGAACACCAGUGGCGAAGGCGACUCUCUGGUCUGUAACUGACGCUGAGGAGCGAAAGCGUGGGGAGCGAACAGGAUUAGAGACCCGCGUAGUCCCUGUCUCUUAUAC